GCCUGCGCCCUCAGGGGCAACCCGACUGCCAAAUUUGCGCCCCUCCUGGGACUGUUUGAGAGAAGGACAAACUUUUGAACGGAUUAAAAAUCAAGAGGAGUCCGUCUGGGGCAGGAUUGAUGGAGAGACAACAAUUUGGCAAGGCUCCUCUAAGCCUGUAGUGGGGGGCUGUGGACUCGGCCCUGCCUUCUCAACUAGGGGGAACCGUCCCAUUCCUGGGCCCUUGCAUUUGGCCCCCAAGUUGGGGGGAAGUCGACACAGAAUGGCAUGAAGGAUGGCUGGCCUGACACAGGACAGAGCCCCAGCCUGGGGAGGGGGCAGUUUUAGGCUAAAUUUCCAUUGCAGAGAGAGGACUUAGAAACAAAGGAAAGAAGGUUGAGGAAACAGCACAAAGGACUAGAAAAUUUGAGAACCACAAAGAUAAAAGACCAGCGAGGGAAGAAAAGAUUCGAAAAAGCCCCAGCGCUGGGGACAGAGGAAGGGCCUCCGGGAGGCUGAGUGGGAGAGAAGCGAAGAUGAAAAAAUUUUGAUAAGGGACAGAACAAAGGUGCAGGAUUCGCCUGUUUUGUGAGGGGGGAAAACGACGGGAAGGGAAAGCAAAGGGGUGAAAGGAGGGAGCUAGAAAGUAAAAGAAAAGGGAAGGAAACAUGAAAGAAAAAAGUAAAAGCAACAGAAGACAGAAAGAGAAAGGGGGGAAAGGGGAGAAGAAAAGGAAGGUGAAGGAAGGGAAGAAUAUAGAGAAAAAAACAGCGAAGGUGGGGCAGAAAGAGAACAAAAGAAGGGGGGGGAAAUGAGAAAUAAAGAGAGAAAAAGAAAAGGAGAGCCGGAAACCAGCCUAACAGAAAGGGGAUCCUGAUUUGGAGGUGCACAGGGAGGGAAGGAGGAGGGAGACAGGCCGCGGUGGCCCAGCCAGGGUCUCCCAGGCGCCUGGGCGCCCUACUGGCUUCCCCUGGGGCUACCUGGGCCCUGGCCUCCCACCCCCGCUGCCCAGGACCCCAGUGGUGCCCGGAGGGAGGUGGGGGUUCAGCCGUCCCCUUGCGCCCAGCUUCUCCCAGGAGAAGCAGCUGACUGAGCUGGAAGAAGGACUUCUUCCUGCAGCCAUGCCAGCCUCAAACCCAGCACAGCGGGCCUGGAGGCGCAGCAGGUCAAGAUCUGGUUCCAAAACCAGAACGCGGAGCCGAAGAGGCGGUUUAGAGAUGGGGGGACCAGUGGCCACACAGCCCUGGCUUGUCUCCUUGCCCCCAGCCCCGAGAGCCUCCACCCUGACCUUGCUGGCAGAGGCUGGCUGCAGACUGACUGCUUUUGUUCCGCCCUGUGACCUUGGGCCUCAGUGUGAUCUUAGGUCAAAUGUGUCCUUUGUGCUGGAGGGUUCUUCUGUAAUUUUGGUUGGCCUGUCUGUAUUUGCGCGGGGGAGAGAGAGGUGAAGAUGAGGCCUGGUCCUCCCCAGCAAGGGCAUGUUCAUUGGUGAGAGGAAAAAUCCUCCUUUGCCAUCCUUCUCUCUCUCCAUGCCCCAGAAAACUUCCUGCCAGGGCACAGGGUUUCUCUACACCAGAAAGGAUUGUGUGAACUUGUAAAGAGCUCGGCAUGAGGUUGUCCAGUGCUGGAGGAACCGGAGAAGGAACCUCAGUUUGAAAGAGAAUGAGGACGUUUCCUACAGGGGCAAGUGGAGUUGAGCUUUGCAGGAUAUAGCACUGAACCACACACACAAAGACGUUAAUUGGCAAAGGGGCUUUAGACUGCGCUGCAGAGGAAUGAACUUGGGGUUAUUGUGUGUCUGUGGCGUGUAGGGCCUACACUCCCACGCCCCGUUCAUUUGCGCCGGGGACAACUGCCCAGUUUGAUUCAGAGGGUCUCUUAAAGCCAAUUAGGUAACUCCUUUGUUUCCCAGGAGUGCAGAGGGGACACUGCCAUUGGGCUCUCCUUGCUGCCUUGGCCUCUGCCCGUUUCUGCUUGCUGUUGUUUUCUGCCUCACUGAGGGGUUCGGGGCGGGGGGGAGGGGGACAGGAAAAUAAAAUGUCCCUCCCCACUCCCCUAGUCCUUCCCUGUACCCUACCCCCACCAAACCUUCUAGCUGCUGACGGUAAUGAACUCCCAGGAGUGCAGAGGGGACAGUGGCUGAGAUCAGCCAGAUCUUCCAAGGGCAGCACGAGCCUUGGGGAUGGGCUUGAGGGACCUUCACAUGGCCAGCUGGUGUCCACAGUAAGCCUUGCAGCCCCUCUCGGGCGGGGGCGGGGGGGGGGGGGCUCGGUCCAGUGCUUCUCAGCACUGCGCUUCUAGACUUCCUCCCCUUCUCUCAAGCUACUUCUUUCCUUCAUUUCCUCCUCCCCCCCUCUCUCUUGCUCCCUUCCCUCCUUCUUCUUGUUCUUUAGGUUCUCUCUUUCCUUUAUCAUCUAGCCCAGGCUGGGACUCUUGUACUGUCUUUGUGCCCCCUGCCCUGAGGCUUUGCUGUGGGAACUUCAGUCAGGCUAAUAACCUGAGGCCUGCCCUCAGGAGUUCAUGAUGUGGAUGCAGUAUUGGGACUGGGAGAUGAGGGGCAAAAUGGGGGGUAAGCUUUGCUGAUCAGGUGCGGGAUGAAUCAACUGGUUUUCUCUAUCAGUUGUGAUUAAUAGAGACCACAUCCCAGUGGCUCAUCCCAGGAAAUCUUUCCCCACCUCACCGAUCUGCUGGCCUGCCCCUGCCCACGGGGGUGGGGUUGCUGGUGUCCCCAAGGCCAUUCUCUCCCAGGGCGAGUGAGGGCCUCCAAGAGCGCCCCUUGCCUCAGUAGAUGGGGGUGCUGGGGGUGGGGGAAGAGAGGUCAGUGAUGCCAGGUCAAAGCCUCAAACUAUUAAAGAAGCAAAGCCUGUUUCCCUAUUCCCGAUGCAUUUUAGGGGUCCUCUUUCCCUUGGAUGGAGAGGCUGCUCCUCUCUUGGCUCUUGGCUAUCUCUCCGAGGAACACACCCCUUGAUUAGCCAGGCCCGCAGCCAUCCCCAUCUGCUCUGCUGAGAAGGGAGGCCACUCAUUCCAGGUCUUGGUGGAAGGGAUACAGACUGCCCAACGCAGCUUCCUUGCCUCAACUGGCCCCUCAGGGAAGGUGGGAACCUCCUUCACUUCGCAGGAUCCGGAAUCUCGGCCGGCAGAGCGGACAGCCGCGCUCUGGAGCCUGACGCCGGAAGAAGUUUCUGCCAUUGCGCUCUCCUUGCUGUCUCGGCCUCUGCCCAUGUCUGCGUGCUGUUGUGUUCUCCCUCACUGAGGGAAAUAAAAUGUCCCUCCCCACUCCCCUAGUCAUUCCUUGUACCCUACCCCCACCAAACCUUCUAGCUGCUGACGGUAAUGAACUCCAGCUUCCAGCCUUGCUCAUAAGCUACUCACAGUGAAUUCAAAUUCUCUUCUGGGCAGGAGGGAGGACAGAUGCUCCUUCCUCGGUCCUCCCUUGCUCGGUGAUCCAUUUUGAAGGCCUUUUGGGGUCAAAGUCAGACCAGAUUGCUUCAAUUGGUAUAAAAUUAGCAUCUUAAAAAAAUCACACCCAGAUUUCUAGCAUCCCAGAAUAGAAGUCUUGGAGCACCUGGCUGGCUCAUUCAAUGGAGCAUGUGAGUCUUGAUCUCAGGGUCGUGAGUUCAAACCCACAUUGGGCAUAGAAAUUA
Long non-coding RNA from Neofelis nebulosa (Clouded leopard), 3620 nucleotides. RefSeq lists it as uncharacterized. The record is from RefSeq and is a predicted model, not a curated record. The transcript is spliced from 2 exons. NCBI's taxonomy places the organism in Eukaryota, Metazoa, Chordata, Mammalia, Carnivora, Felidae.